RNAcentral lists this small nucleolar RNA (108 nucleotides) under Corchorus olitorius. RNAcentral describes it as "Plant small nucleolar RNA R71". It matches the Rfam family "Plant small nucleolar RNA R71". From Rfam's summary of the family: R71 is a member of the C/D box family of snoRNAs containing the C (UGAUGA) and D (CUGA) box motifs. Multiple nearly identical copies of this snoRNA have been identified in Arabidopsis, and it is thought to function as a 2'-O-ribose methylation guide for 18S ribosomal RNA. Lineage: Eukaryota; Viridiplantae; Streptophyta; Magnoliopsida; Malvales; Malvaceae. The record is from Rfam by way of RNAcentral.
AUGGCAUGUUGAGGACAAUCGGCGCAAAAGUUUCUUGAAUCUCUCCCAAGCUAGGUAAAAAUUCUCAUCCUUGCGUUGUCGAAAACUUGCAAUCCUUUGUCUCCCCUU